RNAcentral lists this antisense RNA (955 nucleotides) under Homo sapiens (human). RNAcentral's name for it is "antisense noncoding RNA in the INK4 locus 1-5-6-7-10-13 variant". The stretch from base 268 to 411 matches the Rfam family "CDKN2B antisense RNA 1 convserved region 3". The record is from RNAcentral. Lineage: Eukaryota; Metazoa; Chordata; Mammalia; Primates; Hominidae.
CUCGUCGAAAGUCUUCCAUUCUUCAAACUAGAUUAUUUAAAAAUGAAAAAGGAAGAAAGGAAAGCGAGGUCAUCUCAUUGCUCUAUCCGCCAAUCAGGAGGCUGAAUGUCAGUUUUGAACUAAAAGCCGCUCCGCUCCUCUUCUAGAUUUGGAAAACAAGCGAAAUUAAACUAAACCGCUGCACGCCUCUGACGCGACAUCUGGACACGGCGCGGCGCUGGCGCUGCCGGAGCUGUCGACCCGGCCUGGCGCCGGACUAGUGUCCCUUUUGAUGAGAAGAAUAAGCCUCAUUCUGAUUCAACAGCAGAGAUCAAAGAAAAGACUUCUGUUUUCUGGCCACCAGAUAUAUGUUAUCUGUGCUUAAAGAAUUGAAAAACACACAUCAAAGGAGAAUUUUCUUGGAAAGAGAGGGUUCAAGCAUCACUGUUAGGUGUGCUGGAAUCCUUUCCCGAGUCAGUACUGCUUUCUAGAAGAAAACCGGGGAGAUCUAUUUGGAAUGUAUCUAACUCCAAAGAAACCAUCAGAGGUAACAGUAGAGACGGGGUUUCACCAUGUUGGCCAGACUGGUCUUGAACUCUCGACCUCGUGAUUCGCCCGCCUCGGCCUCCCAAAGUGCUGGGAUUACAGGUGUGAGACACCACACCCGGCGGAUAGAGAGAAUUUUGACAGGUGAUGGAGGCUUUUUAUUUUGCCACAAAACCACUGGUGACGUUGCCUGUGGCCACCUUGGAGAAGACACUGGAGAUGAUUACGGAGCUAGGAAUUUCCUACGAAGCUGGGUGAUAAAAGGACAUUGGACAAAAACACAGAUAGCUUCAUUCUAUACCAGGAUCCAUCACUGAUUAGCUGUAUUAUAUUUGUCUCUACUGUAAUUUGAGGAGAAUGAUACCUGCUUCUCUAUCUUGUUGGGUUUUACAGAUGAUGUAUUGAAAGUUCAAUAAAAUCUAUAAACAAU